GGGCAUUGAAGGUAACAUUAGAGACUUCAAAUGAUCGUUUACUCACCAAGUCCCUGUCCACUUACAGUCCUAACACUUGUGUCUCCAAAAUUACUAUUACUUCUAUGUCUCAUUUGGUAUUGCAUUCCAAAUUACUUAUCAAAAAUUUACCCUUUUAGAUGCUUUCUUAUGAAAAAGCAAUUAAAAACUACUUUUGAGAUGUUUUGACAAAAAAUAUCAAAUAAACCUUCAAAGCAAUUUUUAGUUCAGAUUUGUACAUGGAAUCAGUUAGUAAUUUGUUUGCUGCUAUUUAGAACAAGACAUUUGAGAACUACUUCUCUAUUACUGCAGACUUGACUAUAUGCUGUGUAUUGAGGGAACUUUGAUAUUCAUGCCAAUUUUUAUAGGCAUUUGCUUAACAUUGCCGGUGUAUUUGUGUUUGCUUUUUUUCCCCCUCAUUAAAAGUGUUCUUAUUAAUAUUCCAACUGGCUCCAUAUUUUUUUCUACUAACUUGAAAAGGUUG
This 502-nucleotide unclassified non-coding RNA is filed under the name Hevea brasiliensis (rubber tree). The record is from RNAcentral. Lineage: Eukaryota; Viridiplantae; Streptophyta; Magnoliopsida; Malpighiales; Euphorbiaceae.